RNAcentral lists this long non-coding RNA (460 nucleotides) under Salvia miltiorrhiza (redroot sage). RNAcentral describes it as "long non-coding RNA (SMIL_LNC006413)". The record is from RNAcentral. Lineage: Eukaryota; Viridiplantae; Streptophyta; Magnoliopsida; Lamiales; Lamiaceae.
AUCAGGAGUGGAUAGCUCGGGGGCAGACGAAGCUCACUGCAGGUGUGACACGGGCUAGAACGCCGAUAGCUUUUCUGGAAUUUUAUGUAAGUUUUUGGUAGAAUAAUUUGUGUUUAUGUAUAUAAAACUACCUAUAAAUUAAUCAUGAUUUUUUUUGUGAUUGUAGGAGACCCUCGUCAGAGAGUUCGCUUCGUUGCAUCCGAAUUUGCCAGAUUGGAACGACAUACGGGAGCGACAUGCAUACGAGGAGUGGGUGGUGCCAGAAAAGCUGAUCUCCAUGUUUCCGUGCAAAAUAUCUUCCUUCGGCUUCAAAACGACGCCCUUGCCUACCAAUUUCCGUGCAAAAUAUCUUCCAACAACCCUCGCCGGAAUCUGUCUCGGGGCAAUGCGAUUCAAAUCCGUGUGGCAGGUAUGAUCCAUCACCACCUUGAUCACUCUCCAGAUCGAUGCACUCUGAACG